This 141-nucleotide ribosomal RNA is filed under the name uncultured eukaryote. Its description in RNAcentral is "partial 18S ribosomal RNA". It matches the Rfam family "Eukaryotic small subunit ribosomal RNA", at positions 1299 to 1458 of the family's 1831-position model. The record is from RNAcentral.
UGGUGGAGUGAUUUGUCUGGUUAAUUCCGUUAACGAACGAGACCUCGACCUGCUAAAUAGUUCGACGAAUUCUUCGGGAUUCGUACUGACUUCUUAGAGGGACUAUCGGUGCUUAGCCGAUGGAAGUUCGAGGCAAUAACA